UGGGGAAUUUUGGACAAUGGGGGCAACCCUGAUCCAGCCAUGCCGCGUGUGUGAAGAAGGCCUUCGGGUUGUAAAGCACUUUCGGCCGGAACGAAAUCGCGCGAUCUAACAAGUCGCGUGGAUGACGGUACCGGAAGAAGAAGCACCGGCUAACUACGUGCCAGCAGCCGCGGUAAUACGUAGGGUGCGAGCGUUAAUCGGAAUUACUGGGCGUAAAGUGUGCGCAGGCGGCUGAGCAAGUCGAGUGUGAAAGCCCCGAGCUUAACUUGGGAAUUGCGCUCGAAACUACUUGGCUGGAGUGUGGCAGAGGAGGGUGGAAUUCCACGUGUAGCGGUGAAAUGCGUAGAGAUGUGGAGGAACACCAAUGGCGAAGGCAGCCCUCUGGGCCAACACUGACGCUCAUGCACGAAAGCGUGGGGAGCAAACAGGAUUAGAUACCCUGGUAGUCCACGCCCUAAACGAUGACGACUAGUUGUUGGAGGAGUUAAAUCCUUUAGUAACGCAGCUAACGCGCGAAGUCGUCCGCCUGGGGAGUACGGUCGCAAGAUUA
This 550-nucleotide ribosomal RNA is filed under the name uncultured bacterium. RNAcentral describes it as "bacterial SSU rRNA". It matches the Rfam family "Bacterial small subunit ribosomal RNA", at positions 355 to 896 of the family's 1533-position model. The record is from RNAcentral.